This is a long non-coding RNA of Chelonia mydas (Green sea turtle), 8283 nucleotides long. RefSeq lists it as uncharacterized. The transcript has 2 exons. Lineage: Eukaryota; Metazoa; Chordata; Testudines; Cheloniidae. The record is from RefSeq and is a predicted model, not a curated record.
AUUGCAUUGAGUGACCUCUGGUUCUUGUGUUACGUGAAGGGGUAAAUAACACUUCCCUAUUCACUUUCUUCACACCCGUCAUGAUUUUGUCAGAACGCUGUUGUAUCCCCUUCAGUCAUCUCUUUUCUCAGCUGAGCACUUCCAGGCUUUUUAAUCUCUCAUUGUACAGAUGCUGUGCCAUGCCCCUAAUCAUUUUUGUUGCUUUUCUUGGUACCUUUUCCAAUUCGAAUAUAUCUUGUCUGAGAUGGUGUGACUAGAGCUGGAUGCAGUAUUUGAGGUGUGGGCGUACCAUGGAUUUAUAUAGUAUAGCAUUCAGAUAUUUUCUGGUUAUCUAUCGCUUUCCUAAUGAUUCCAACAUUCUGUUCGCUUUUUUGACUGCCGCUGCCCAUUGAGUGGACGUUUUCAGAGAACUCUCCACAAUGACUCCAAGAUCUCUUUUAGACCCCAUCACUUUGUAUGUAUAGUUGGGGAUUAUGUUUUCCAGCGUGGAUUACUUUACAUUUCUUCUUCGAAUGCUUGCUCAUGUUGAUUCCGAGUAGGUGUGCGCAUGCCGCGUGCACAGUCGCUGGAAGGUUUUUCCCCUAGCGGUACCUGUCGGGUCAGCUGUGGAGCCCCCUGGAGUCAUGCCUUCGUGGCGAUGUAUAUCAGGUCCCUGCUGACCCCCCAGCUAUUCAGUUCCUUCUCAUCACCAGUGAUGGUCAUUGGAGCUGCAUGUCCCUCUUGCCUCAGCAAGCAUUUCCCAUAGGGAUCUGACUUUUGAUUAUCCUGUAAAUGGUUCAUUAGUUAGUGUUAAUCUUAGUAGUUAGAAGUGGGAGGCUUCCCCCCUCAACCCGAAUUCCCUCCCCUCUUGGGGUUCAUGCCUCAAUCCCCAGGGUUUAAGCCGUGCGGGACCUACCACAAGCCCAUGCCAACAGGUGACUCCCAUGACUCCUGCCUUAAGUGUCAUGGGGAGGCACAUCAGACCAGAUUGCUGAAAGAUCUGCAAAAGAAAGGGACUUCAGGCUCAAACAACUCCAUAUGGAGGAAGCCCUCCGUCCCCAGCCAGCCCCGGGCCAGGACUCAGCACUGAGCAUCCCCAUGCAGAGCACUCCGGCCUCCGUGAGAGAAAGGGCACCGAGGAAGGACUCUGGGCAUAGAGACCCUCGGCACUGUCGCUCCCCGGCGCUGAGGCCUGUGGAGGCAACAGCACCGCUCGCACUCACUGGUGCCGCAUAAGCAGCACAAGAUGACGGGGGCACUUGCCCACAAUGAGAGCAGCCGGGUCUAACAGUGCCAGCAGUGUGCAUCCCACACAGGGGCACCCGGUCUCACAGGAGCCGGCACCAUCUCACUCAAGUCCGGCGUCACUGGAUUCUCCUGCUCGAGAGUGCCAGGUGGAGGAGCUGGAGCUCCCGUCUACCCUGGACACACUCAGGGUGACCAGGGACUUGAUUGCCAGCCUGGAUAGACUUCCGGCAUCCGUCCAGAGGCAAGCCCGCGAUGAUGAGGCACUGCUCGCCUUCUCCGUGGCACCGUCCCGCUCGGCGGCACCACAGUCUCCGUGCUUGGAGUCCCGGUCAUCGGAGGCGGAGUCCUGCUGUUCCAGGCGCAGUCGGCACUGAUCAGAGCAGCGCUGACACAGGCAGGAGGCAGGGAUGGUGCCAUGAUGGGCGCGGUUGCAUGGGCCCGUGCAGUGGCCGUUCUGUACCCUGCGGGCAUACCGGCAAGCCCAGGGCACUUACUUCAGGGACUCCCAGUCCGUAAUUUCAGAAGGAUGCACCCCUUUACCACCUUGAGUCAGUCCCCCACCUCGAAGCACCGAGACGGCUUCAGUCUACAGCACAGAGCCCCAUCUGGGUCCCGGCUCCCCCACUGGCACUGAGGCCACUACCGGCACCAACCAGCAGGGCCCAGAGUAGGACGCGUCCAGGGAGCCAGAGGGACAGGAGGGCUUCCGCCUCGGGCUUCGUCAUUGUCCUUGCCGGAUGAGGCAGUGGCGGGAUCGUCGUCCUUUGGGCCGCCCCCCAUUGACAAUACAGUGCCCCAGGAGCUGUUGAGCAGGGUGGCCCAUAACAUGGGGCUACCAGCUGAGGAGAUAGUCGAGUCUGAGGACCCCAUGGUGGACAUAUUAACCCCUGAAGAGCCAUCCAGGGUGGCAUUGCCUCUCAUUAAAACAAUUCAAGCCACUACAAAAACCUUGUGGCAAACUCCUGCCUCCAUUCCCCCUACAGCUAAGGGGGUGGAGAGGAAGUAUUUAAUCGCCUCUGAGGGGUACGAAUACUUAUUUACUUAUCCACAGCUGGGUUCGCUGGUCAUAUCAGUGGCCAAUGAGAGAGAGAGAGACAGGCAACAGGGCUCAACUCCAAAAUCCAAAGACUCAAAGAAACUGGACCUCUUCAGUAGGAAAGUGUACUCCACGGCGGGGCUCCAGCUUCGGAUGCUAACCAGCAAGCAAUCCUCAGUAGAUACAGGUUUCAGAGUAGCAGCCAUGUUAGUCUGUAUUCGCAAAAAGAAAAGGAGGACAUGUGGCACCUUAGAGACUAACAAAUUUAUUUGAGCAUAAGCUUUCGUGAGCUACAGCUGAAUGCAUCUGAUGAAGUGAGCUGUAGCUCAUGAAAGCUUAUGCUCAAAUAAAUUUGUUAGUCUCUAAGGUGCCACAAGUACUCCUUUUCAGUAGAUACAAUUUCAAUUCAUGGGUCUCCGGAAUAGACACACCAGUCUAUUCAACAGAUCCUUCUCCCUGUUUUCUGAACUGUCUGUCCCACUUCUACGGUGCUUGGUCCCAGAUAAUCUCAUACUGUUGGGGUCCUGCUCACAGUGGAUGUGGGAUAUCUCUCCAAUUCGCUCCUCCCCUCCCUGCUAGCCUCCUUCCCUGUCCCUCUUCAGGGACCCUUCUCAUGAGCAUCUCCUCAUGCAGGAGGUUCAAAGGUUCUGCGCCGCAGGAGCAGUGGAGGAGGUUCCUCAGGAACUAUGGGGCAAGGGAUUCUACUCCCGAUAUUUCCUAAUCCCCAAAGCCAAAGGGGGUCUCAGACCCAUCCUUGACUUACGAGGCCUCAGCAGGUUCAUGAAGAAGUUGACGGCGUUCCACAUGAUCUCUCUAAAUGCAAUUAUCCCAUCUCUGGAUCGGGGAGAUUGGUACGGGAGACGAGGGCAGCGUGCCCUCGCCCUCAAGGACAUGGACUUCCACAUAUCGAUAAUUCCAGCCCACAGACACUUUCUCAGGUUCGUAGUGAACCACAACCUUUACCAGUUUAUGGUCCUCCCCUUUGGUCUGUCUGUGGCCCUUGAGUUUAUACCAAGUGCAUGGCAGUCAUAGCCACCUUCCCGAGAAGAAGGCAGGUGCAGGUCUUCCCGUACCUCGAUGACUGGCUGGUCAGGGGGCGCGCCAGGUCACAAGUGGAGCAGCACGUCAACUUGAUGAGAUCCACCUUCGACAGGCUAGGUCUCCUUCUGAAUGUACACAAAUCAACUCUAUCCCCCACUCAGAGAAUAGAGUUCAUUUGGGGAGUGUUGGACUCUGGCAGGAAGAUUCUGGCCUGACCACGGUCUCGUUUUUGGACAAUGCAAGUCAUCAUACAAGGCUUCGGACAAUACCCCACCGCCACAGCAAAGAAUUGCUUGAAGGUCCUCAGACGAAUGGCAGCUUGUACAUAUGCGGUACAACAUGCAAUGCUGAGGCUCAGACCUCUCCAGGCCUGGCUGGCUUCAAUUUACCAGCCAGGGCACGACAACCUGGACAAGGUGGUUACACUCCCACCACCAGUUCUCAGAUCUCUCCAGUGGUGGCUCAACACGCAGGCGGUGUGCGCAGGGGUCCCCUUCGCCAAACUGCAGUCCUCACUGUCCCUGGUCACAGACGCGUCAGCGAUGGGGUGGGGAGCUCAUCUGGGAGAAUUCAAAACCCAGGGCCUCUGGUCCCAAGACCGCAGCUGAAUUAUCCGUCCCCUUAGAUACAGCUCUAAGCAGCUUGUGCUGCUUGUGGAAACUGCCCUUGCCCUAAAACACUGCUUUCCUCCUUCACUUGCUGCACGCUGUCCUGCAGCCUCCGCCGGCUGGGUUAUAAUCUCUUCCAUUUAUACAGCACCUGGAACUAUGCUAUUAGGAAUUGCUUUGUUUCUCCCACUCAAAUGCAGUCACUCCUGGUGCGGAAGGUGAUGGGCGUUUAACUACAAAGGGCAACAGGUUAAGCCAGGAGCAGUUCAGGAGGGAAAGUCACGAGCCAGGAGGGAAUUAGCCCUGGCACUGAGUUAAUGCCCCUGCUCUUGCAAAGAGUGCUGUGAAACUUUGAAGGGCCAGUUCCUGGAACCAUUUCUUACAUCUCCUGGAGCACCAGUUUCCCCAGCGCCAUGCUGGUGCAUUGGCCCAGUGUUGAGUCAGGGGGAAGAGUAUCACAUACUAAAUAAUCCUAGCGGGUGUCUCAGCCAGGCAGCCAUCAGCCACCAGUGAUUACUUAAGAGAAACGGAUGCAGGUGAGACCAUCAGUCCAGCCCCUCCCCCCAUGGACGGGUGACGACCUUAUUUAAAAAACAAAAUGUGCCUCUGGUGAUGUACCUGGGCCCCCGUUUCCAGUGUCUGAGCUGCUCCCACUCUUUAAUGCACUUAUUGUCACAGCCCCCAUGGGGCAGGGCCGUUGUGCCCAUUGUACAGAGGAGGAACUGAAGCCCUGAGGCCCAGCCCCUCCAAGGUAUUUAGAUGCCUAGCUCCCCUUGAACUCAGUGGGUGUUCAGUGUCAAAUGCCUUUCAGGAGCUGAGCCCGAGUGAGUGACUGCCUAAUGAUCAGUCUAGGGCAGAGCAGGGAAUUGAACCCGCAUCCCAGACUCACUCCCUAACCACCAGGCCAUCCUCUCUCUUCUGUGCCUGGGAGUUGGCCCUUGGCACCUGUAAGAAAAGGAGCCUUAUUCCCCUCAGGGAGCUGGUUAAGUAGCUUCCCCCUCAGCUGUGAGUCCGGCUGUUCCAGCCCUGUGCUUGGAGGCUGGACUGCGUAGGGGGAGGGUGUGUCUCGCCGUUGGGGCGUUGACCCAAGCAAAAUCCUCAGGGCCCCCAAGGUGUUUAGCCAAGCCGCUGCUUUGUGACGCUGUUGGCUGGAGAUGGCCUUUUGGGAGCCCAUCCAGCUCAACAAGGUGCCCUUUGCCUUCUCUGGCACCGGCUCCAGCUCCCAGUGUUUGCAUUGUAGGACCUGACCUGGGUGCAUUUCAAGUCGCUAUAGCGACUGAAUGGACAGACGGUCUGGGCAGAUUUAAGAGAGGGGAAUUCACUCAACUUGCCCUCCUCAGUCUUCAGCCCAUGGUUUGGAGGGGGGAAUCCCGCAGUUGGAGCUCAAGCUGCCUACUCAGCUACCCCACUAAGGACAGCAAGAGCUACCUCACUCACGGUCAGCCCCAGCCCUGGAGGAGAGUUUGUUCCUUGGUUGCACCUGCCCAGGGCCAGAUUAACUAUUCAGCUAAUAAGGUUCUCGCCUUAGGCCCUCCUGGUCAGGCAGGGGGCAUGGCUGGGGCGGGGGAGAGGGAGCGAGUUUGCUCACGCAGCCCUGCCAGGGUGCUCCUGCGGCUUGGCAGGAGCUCAGCCGGCACCGCGCUGCGGGAACACGCUGCCAGGGAUCCGGUUCACACGGGUGACCAGGCACUAAAAAUCCAGUUACCACGGGAAUCCGUGCCAGCCGUGGGUGUCGUUUGAGCAGGCAUUGCACCCCCCACCCGCCCUGAUUUCUCCAGAGCUCUGCUUAGCCGUCAGGGAGGGAAGAGCCUCCCUCUGUCCCUCUCCUCUGCUGAGGCUGGCAGGCAGCUCCAGGAUGCUGCCCCCGGGGUCCUAAUGCCCACCAUCAUCAUCUAUGUGUGCUGGGUCCCGUUUGUGGACACUGGUGAGUGACACAGGGCAAGGGGGGGCAGGGGGAGGGGGCAGUACCAAAGCGGUAGGAUGGGAAGCUUGCACAAAACCUGCACACACUCUAUCCAGCUUCAGCCAGAAUGAUUGCCCCUCCCAUGUAUAAGGACCAAAUUCCCACAGAUCUGUAGGAAAAACAAAACAAACCAUCCCAUUCUGGAUCCCAGUCCUUUAACUUUAACUUUUACAGAACCUUUCAUCGAGGGGCUUCAGAUGCAUGAUGCGCUGUGUUCAAUACUGCAUUGAACUGUACUAAAAAUCAAAGAAAUGCCAUUUUUUUUCUUUGAUGUAUUUUUCUGUACUGGGAUGCACAGGCAACCAAGUUCUUUCCUUAUGCUCAGCCUAGCUCCCCAGGCCAACGCAUCUUUGUACUUUUAAGGGGUUGCAAAAGCACUGGAGGAAGCUCAACACACAAUGUUGUAGAAAGAAAAGGAGGACUUGUGGCACCUUAGAGACUAACCAAUUUAUUUGAGCAUAAGCUUUUGUGAGCUACAGCUCACUUCAUCGGAUGCAAUGUUGUAGGUUUCUCCUUCCCCUCUGCCGCAAGGAUUUUAAAUCCACUUCUUAGCAGGCUAUGAUAGAAAGACUGGCUGAUUAGGCCAAAGGCAGGUUCUGUCCAUUUGCUGGUUCUCUAGCUGUUCAAUCCAUCAUAAAAGUACCUCACAUUUGAUUUCUUUUGAGUUUCAUUCCAAAAACUUAAAACUAAAUAACCCUGAAGUUAGUCCUCAUUUUUCUGCCCCAAUUCCAACUAACUUCUUUCCCAAGUGGAAAACAUUGGGUAAGUGUGGGGUGUGAUUCGAGAUGGGAAGGUGAACACAGGCCAAUUCCUGCUGACAGUUACACCUGUGCAGCCUUAUUGACUUCAGGGAGAACAGAUUUUUGCACAAGAAUAGAUUUUGGUCCCUUCUGCUUUUUCACACCUGCUAUAAGCAAAAUCUCAUUCACUUUCCUCCCCUAACCUCUGAGCACUUCAAGGGGGAAAAAUAAGCAAGGUCUGCUUGAUUUACACAUGCAAACGAAACAGGAAGCUCUCCCUUCAUUCUACACCAGCCUUAAACACCAGACCUGCUGUAACAAGGGGGUCACUGCAGCAGCCUUGGCUGGACUGUUCUUUGGGAAGAUCCUUAAUUGUUCUUUUAAGAUGCUGAUUUUCAGUGAAGUCUUCUUGUUCUUGGGGGCAGAGAACACAACAGGGAAUAGCUCUGUUUUAUCACCUCCUAGUCAUUCAAAAGCUGAAAGGCUUUGGAUUGUUUGUUUUAAUGUUUGUACAGUGAUUUUGAAGAGCUAACAUAGUACAGAAGUGCUAAAUAUUAUGACUGGGCAACCAUCUAAAGAUCUGUGUCACUUCUAGCUGUUACCUUUUUCUUACAGAAAGCUUAAAACAAACAAAUGCAAACCAUAGGGAGCUGGUGCACACAGAACUCAUGCUUAAAAAACGUCAUGUCAGAGCUGCUGAUCACACAUUGUAGAAUACUUAAUCCUGCCAUGAGUGCAGGGGACCAGACCAGAUGACCUCUUGAGGUCCCUUCCAGUCCUGUGAGUCUAUUCUAUGAUUCUAAUUGUGGAAGAGCUUGGUGACAGAAUGGCCUGAUGUGGUGAAUCGCUGGAGAUUAACUACACAAACUGGGUAUGGUCCCACAAAUAAUAUUUGGGUUCAAUGUGAAAAUUCAUUGUUCUCAGCUAGUGCAACACCGGGAGGCAGCUUUCAGAGCAAGAUCGCCUAAAAUACAAUGCCACCCACUGUAACUUUCCCUGGUCUACGCCAGGAGGUAGGGGUGAGCUAAGUCCGUCUAAUUACACAACGUGAGCUACGAAAAUAGCGUAGCUGAAGUUGAGGUACUUAGAGCUACUCACCACGGUGUCUUCACUGUGGUAAGUCGACAGCUGCUGCUCCCCCAUCAACUCCACCUGCGCUUCUUGCUCCGGUGGAGCACCGGAGUCGACGGGAGAGCGCUCGGUGGUUAAUUUAUCGCGGCUAGAAGACUAUCGCGCUGGGUGCAUGGCUCGGGGGGUAAGUGUAGACAUGCCCUCUACUUCAGUGGAUUUUACACCUGAGUGGUUUCCUUUUACAUAAUAAAAGCUGGAUGCGUCCCAGAGUGCAGUCAGAGUGAGACAGGGUAUGUGGUGUAGAGGCCAUAGCUUGGGGGGAAACACCUGCAGGGCUUGGCCUUGCACUGUGCCAGGUGGAGAGCUGAGGGUAGAAGCACACGGCUGAAAGAGGUAGCAGCUUGCAGUGUUCAUCCUCAUACAGAUUGCAGUAUUCAAUCUCCACGAGCUAGGAGGAAGGAGGCUCAGGAGAAGGCCAGCGCCAGCAUCCCUCGUGCCGCCUCUUACUCAGAAGUAUCUGUGUGGAGACAUGAGUGCCGUGAGAGUAGAAUAAACUUGUUAAUUUUCCAUAAAUAAAUAAAUAUGUAAAUGUGUAUG